RNAcentral lists this ribosomal RNA (253 nucleotides) under uncultured bacterium. Its description in RNAcentral is "partial 16S ribosomal RNA". It matches the Rfam family "Bacterial small subunit ribosomal RNA", at positions 524 to 776 of the family's 1533-position model. The record is from RNAcentral.
UACGAAGGUCCCAAGCGUUAUCCGGAUUUAUUGGGUUUAAAGGGUGCGUAGGCGGACUAUUAAGUCAGUGGUGAAAGCCCCCAGCCUAACUGGGGAACUGCCAUUGAUACUGAUGGUCUUGAGUACAUUUGAGGUGGGCGGAAUGUGUCAUGUAGCGGUGAAAUGCUUAGAGAUCGGGAAGAACACCCGUGGCGAAGGCGACCUACUGGGCUGCGACUGACGCUGAGAUGCGAAAGUGUGGGGAGCAAACGGG